RNAcentral lists this long non-coding RNA (241 nucleotides) under Amborella trichopoda. RNAcentral describes it as "long non-coding RNA (ATRI_LNC004198)". The record is from RNAcentral. Lineage: Eukaryota; Viridiplantae; Streptophyta; Magnoliopsida; Amborellales; Amborellaceae.
UCGAGAUUUGUGCUUCGUCUUUCGCCUACCGUAUAUGGUGUAACGGCAUCUCGUGCCAAGGGUUGAACCCUGCUCACAAACCAGGAGAUCUGGGUCUUAAGGAGCGAUCAUCAUCAAUCCCAUUCUACUACUCAUACUCAGUUAGUACAAAUUAUGACUAUUGUCAGUCUCCGAGGGACAUCGAAGACUUGGAACUACAUCGAUAGACAACCACCAUCACUACCAUUACCAUUUCGAGAGA